This 72-nucleotide transfer RNA is filed under the name Heterocephalus glaber (naked mole-rat). It matches the Rfam family "tRNA". Rfam says of the family: Transfer RNA (tRNA) molecules are approximately 80 nucleotides in length. Their secondary structure includes four short double-helical elements and three loops (D, anti-codon, and T loops). Further hydrogen bonds mediate the characteristic L-shaped molecular structure. tRNAs have two regions of fundamental functional importance: the anti-codon, which is responsible for specific mRNA codon recognition, and the 3' end, to which the tRNAs corresponding amino acid is attached (by aminoacyl-tRNA synthetases). tRNAs cope with the degeneracy of the genetic code in two manners: having more than one tRNA (with a specific anti-codon) for a particular amino acid; and 'wobble' base-pairing, i.e. permitting non-standard base-pairing at the 3rd anti-codon position. Lineage: Eukaryota; Metazoa; Chordata; Mammalia; Rodentia; Bathyergidae. The record is from Rfam by way of RNAcentral.
GGGAAUGUAGCUCAGUGGUAGAGAGCUUGCUUAGCAUGCUUGAGGUGCUGGGUUUGAUUCCCAAUACUACCA